This 380-nucleotide ribosomal RNA is filed under the name uncultured eukaryote. Its description in RNAcentral is "partial 18S ribosomal RNA". It matches the Rfam family "Eukaryotic small subunit ribosomal RNA", at positions 592 to 976 of the family's 1831-position model. The record is from RNAcentral.
CAAUAGCGUAUAUUAAAGUUGUUGCAGUUAGAACGCUCGUAGUCGGAUUUCGGGGCGGGGCGACCGGUCUGCCGAUGGGUACGCACUGGUCGGCGCGUCCUUCCUUCCGGAGACCGUGCCUACUCUUAACUGAGCGGGGGCGGGAGACGGAUCGUUUACUUUGAAAAAAUCAGAGUGUUUCAAGCAGGCAGCUCGCUCUUGCAUGGAUUAGCAUGGGAUAAUGAAAUAGGACUUUGGUGCUAUUUUGUUGGUUUCGAACACCGAAGUAAUGAUUAACAGGGACAGUCAGGGGCACUCGUAUUCCGCCGAGAGAGGUGAAAUUCUCAGACCCGCGGAAGACGAACCACUGCGAAAGCAUUUGCCAGGGAUGUUUUCACUGA